RNAcentral lists this ribosomal RNA (503 nucleotides) under uncultured bacterium. RNAcentral describes it as "bacterial SSU rRNA". It matches the Rfam family "Bacterial small subunit ribosomal RNA", at positions 28 to 524 of the family's 1533-position model. The record is from RNAcentral.
GAUGAACGUUAGCGGGAGGCUUAAUACAUGCAGGUCGAGCGGUAAGUUUUUAUAGCAAUAUGAAGACCUAGAGCGGCGCACGGGUGAGUAACGCGUACACGACCUGGCCUAAACUGGGGGAUAGCCUUGGGAAACUGAGAGUAAUCCCGCAUGUGAUUAUGUUACUGAUGGUGAUAUAAUUAAAGCUUCGGCGGUUUAGGAUGGGUGUGCGUCUGAUUAGCUAGUUGGUAGUGUAACGGACUACCAAGGCGAUGAUCAGUAGGGGGCGUGAGAGCGUGACCCCCCCACACGGGUACUGAGACACGGACCCGACUCCUACGGGAGGCAGCAGUAAGGAAUAUUGGUCAAUGCCCGGAAGGGUGAACCAGCCAUCCCGCGUGAAGGAUGAAGGGGCUCUGCCUUGUAAACUUCUUUUGUAUGGGGCGAAAAAAGGGGAUUUAUCCUCGACUGACGGUACCAUAAGAAUAAGCACCGGCUAACUCCGUGCCAGCAGCCGCGGUAAU